RNAcentral lists this transfer RNA (66 nucleotides) under Staphylinidae sp. BMNH 1274642. RNAcentral's name for it is "tRNA-Ile". Lineage: Eukaryota; Metazoa; Arthropoda; Insecta; Coleoptera; Staphylinidae. The record is from RNAcentral.
AAUAAAGUGCCUGAUUUAAUAGGUCUAUUUUGAUAGGAUAGCUCAUGUGAUUUUUCACCUUUAUUA